This is a long non-coding RNA of Arachis duranensis, 391 nucleotides long. RefSeq lists it as uncharacterized. The transcript has 3 exons. The record is from RefSeq and is a predicted model, not a curated record. Lineage: Eukaryota; Viridiplantae; Streptophyta; Magnoliopsida; Fabales; Fabaceae.
UUAAAGCUUUAAGGAAAUUAAGCAUUAUAAUCCUACAAUGGUAAAAGGAGUACUACUUUUUUCUCUACUUGUCUUUCUAAUACUAACGCAAACAGAUUGCAUGAAAUCCUUCCAUGUAAGAAAAUGUUGUUGGGAAUAUCAUCUUGGUAAUGAUGUUUGCGUUAACCGUAUUUGCAAUUCAGUGUGUCAACAACAUUGCAAAGGAGGACAUUGCAGAAAUUACGAUAAACAUAUAUGUCAUUGUGCUUGUUAAUUAAUUAUCAUGAUUCAUAGAAGAGUUAUAUUAUGAAAGCAAAAUUUUCAAUAACUAUAUUCAACUUAUAUCAUGUUGAUCAGUAAAUUAUCGAUAAAAAAAUUAUUUAGACUAUGAAUAAAAUGAUGAAUGUCAUUG